CCAGCCUUCUGAAAGGAAGAUUAAUCCAGGAUGGCAUCAUGAGUUCACAUGUCCGCAUGAUUAAAGGUAUUUUCCGGUAGACGAUGGGGAUGCGUUCCAUUAGAUAGUAGGCGGGGUAACGGCCCACCUAGUCAACGAUGGAUAGGGGUUCUGAGAGGAAGGUCCCCCACAUUGGAACUGAGACACGGUCCAAACUCCUACGGGAGGCAGCAGUGAGGAAUAUUGGUCAAUGGGCGAUGGCCUGAACCAGCCAAGUAGCGUGAAGGAUGACUGCCCUAUGGGUUGUAAACUUCUUUUAUAAAGGAAUAAAGUCGGGUAUGCAUACCCGUUUGCAUGUACUUUAUGAAUAAGGAUCGGCUAACUCCGUGCCAGCAGCCGCGGUAAUACGGAGGAUCCGAGCGUUAUCCGGAUUUAUUGGGUUUAAAGGGAGCGUAGAUGGAUGUUUAAGUCAGUUGUGAAAGUUUGCGGCUCAACCGUAAAAUUGCAGUUGAUACUGGAUGUCUUGAGUGCAGUUGAGGCAGGCGGAAUUCGUGGUGUAGCGGUGAAAUGCUUAGAUAUCACGAAGAACUCCGAUUGCGAAGGCAGCCUGCUAAGCUGCAACUGACAUUGAGGCUCGAAAGUGUGGGUAUCAAACAGGAUUAGAUACCCUGGUAGUCCACACGGU
Molecule: ribosomal RNA, 664 nt
Filed under: uncultured bacterium
Lineage: Bacteria
Description: bacterial SSU rRNA
Rfam family: Bacterial small subunit ribosomal RNA
Source: RNAcentral